This 245-nucleotide ribosomal RNA is filed under the name uncultured bacterium. Its description in RNAcentral is "partial 16S ribosomal RNA". It matches the Rfam family "Bacterial small subunit ribosomal RNA", at positions 524 to 768 of the family's 1533-position model. The record is from RNAcentral.
UACGUAGGUGGCGAGCGUUGUCCGGAAUUAUUGGGCGUAAAGGGCGCGUAGGUGGUUUUUUAAGUCAGAUGUGAAAACCCCGGGCUUAACUUGGGGAUUGCAUUUGAAACUGGAAGACUUGAGGACAGGAGAGGAAAGCGGAAUUCCCAGUGUAGCGGUGAAAUGCGUAGAGAUUGGGAAGAACACCAGUGGCGAAGGCGGCUUUCUGGACUGACCCUGACACUGAUGCGCGAAAGCUAGGGGAG